AGUUCCGUAGGUGACCUGCGGAAGGAUCAUUA
This 32-nucleotide ribosomal RNA is filed under the name Amanita luteolovelata. Its description in RNAcentral is "partial 18S ribosomal RNA". Lineage: Eukaryota; Fungi; Basidiomycota; Agaricomycetes; Agaricales; Amanitaceae. The record is from RNAcentral.